RNAcentral lists this ribosomal RNA (253 nucleotides) under uncultured bacterium. RNAcentral's name for it is "partial 16S ribosomal RNA". It matches the Rfam family "Bacterial small subunit ribosomal RNA", at positions 524 to 776 of the family's 1533-position model. The record is from RNAcentral.
UACGUAGGGGCCGAGCGUUGUCCGGAUUUAUUGGGCGUAAAGAGCGUGUAGGCGGCCAGACAGGUCAGCUGUGAAAACUCGAGGCUCAACCUCGAGACGUCGGUUGAAACCGUCUGGCUAGAGUCCGGAAGAGGAGAGUGGAAUUCCCGGUGUAGCGGUGAAAUGCGCAGAUAUCGGGAAGAACACCCGUGGCGAAGGCGGCUCUCUGGGACGGUACUGACGCUGAGACGCGAAAGCGUGGGGAGCGAACAGG